This 63-nucleotide transfer RNA is filed under the name Neotoma lepida (desert woodrat). It matches the Rfam family "tRNA", at positions 5 to 66 of the family's 71-position model. From Rfam's summary of the family: Transfer RNA (tRNA) molecules are approximately 80 nucleotides in length. Their secondary structure includes four short double-helical elements and three loops (D, anti-codon, and T loops). Lineage: Eukaryota; Metazoa; Chordata; Mammalia; Rodentia; Cricetidae. The record is from Rfam by way of RNAcentral.
AUGUAGCUCAGUGGUAGGGUGUUUGCCUCUCAUGCAAGAAGCCCUGGGUUCAGUUCUCAUCAU